UAUGUUUUUUGACGUGGUGGAGCCCUUUUAGAUUUUAAUGGGCCUUGUAGAGGUUUUUAGCCUCUCAAAGGCUCAAGCUUUGUCUCAUUUGUCAUCAACACCAUAUUACGGAAACAAAUCAAGUAAAGUAUCGAGAAGAGGAGGAAGAUAAAACAGAGCAAGAUGAAGGAAGAAGAGGAGCACACAAAGGAUUUGUUAACCCGGUUCACGGCAUUAACGAGCCGCUACGUCCGGUUAGGAUCGAUAGAUCCACAACUUCACUAUGAAGAAGAAGGUAUUACAAACAAGAAGCAACAAGUGACCCGUCUAAUACCCUUCACUAGUACUUAGACUCACUCUGUACCACUUCCUGUAUAACUCAGAGAACAACAAUGACAAGCUUAUACUAAUACAUGUUUUCUCUCAUCUCUAUACCUUACUAACUCUUCUUCUUAGAUCUACAUUGUGCUAUUGCUCUCUCUCUCUACUCCCUUCUCCCUUAGCUUCUCUCAAUGAAGAUAAGCACCUAUAUAUAGAGACAGCUAACUAGGGCUUCCUUGUGCUAAAACAAACCGCAACCCUUUUGAGAACAAACUGACAAAACGGAGAGGCUCCCCUUUGUGGUCCCAAAAGUAUCCCAACCCAACUUUAACUUGACUAGAGUUAAGCCUUGAGUUGCUUUUGAUCUUCAUUUGCUUGAGAAACAAGUUCUCAUCUCCACAAAUCUCCACCUGAGAACAUGUUGAUCAAUCCACACAACCUUCACACACUUGAGAGAGGGAGAGAGUACCUUCUAAGCAGUUUAAACACCAUAAACCUGCUUGAUCCUUCCUGUAUUAAACUUAUAUUCAAUACACUUCAGCUGUGACUACUCACACUGCUGAACCUGAGCCAUCAAUACAUCUUUAGAUCACAAGUUGUGAAACCCAGCUCCAAUGCAGUCUUGCAUUAAGCUCAAUUCUUCCCUGAUCACCUCCUAUGAUGCAUUCGACACCUGAAUACUUGACAUCACCGCUCAGACAACUCCAUUAACAAGUCAAGAGAACACUUCCAGCUUGUUAAACACAACAUAAAAUUCCAUAAGCUUCACCGCUUAUUAGACGUCCAAUCACACAUUCUCCACCAUGGCUUCUGUUAAGGCCAUGAGCUUGUACCAGUGACUGAAGUACCAAAUAACCCUCUGCAAAACUUGAUUCCCUUGCUAGCUUCUAGGAUUUCCUCAUGCGCAUUGAGAUCAAAACCCUUUGAAUUCACUUGAAUCAAAUGCAGAAAACCAGAAUCAUUUUUAAGCUCAAACCUGAAGCUUCUUUGAUUCACCAUGUAAACCAUCUAAACAGCCUGUUUAGUACCACAACAGCUUUAGAUGACCUUUACAAACCUGUUUAACAAAACCAAUCCAGAACACAUCCUUUGUUCAACAGUUCUGUUUAAACAGAGCCUUUACCAGCAGAUUUGAACCACUACCAGCAAUCUUUAAACCUGUCUCACAUCAACAAGACCUUGUGAUAACCCUGAGACAAUCCUUACAGCACCUUCCACAUCCAUUCUAGAAAUCUGAUGCACUUUCUACUAUAGUACAGUCCUUGCAAAACCUGCGGACCUCCACCAAACGACUUGAACCUUGCACCAUCCGAUUUUCAGACUUAACCAGUCUUUUUCUUCUUUAUCAUCAUAUGAUACUAGAAGAUACUCCACUUGAAUGGUAUGCAAGUAUCUUUUUCUGAGAGGAUACUUACAUAUACUCCCUUUUGGUGCAGACAACCAAAACUAAAAAAAAACUCCUUAGUUGUUGUCUUCCAAAUGCAUUCUCUGCAUUUACAUCCUUCCUAGGAUUCCUUUUUCAGUUACCAAGACCAGCUUUGAGAUGGGUUGUUAUCAAACUUGAUACACAACACUUUCACAUUCCCGAAGUGAGCAACCUUGAGACAACUCCUGCAACACUCGUGCUUGUCUCCUCUCAGUUUCUCCUUUAGAGAACUCACUUAACCACUUCAAUGUCUUCAUCUCUAUUUACAUCUUAAGGUCUUCUGAAAAGCUUUCAGAAACCUGCAACUCCAUCAUAGAAACCUGCAGCUCUGCUUCUGAAUAUCAUCACCAACAAUCAGCUUCAAACCAAAAACUGUAGCCAGCCUUGUACCAUCAGGCUAUAACCUUCUUUCAGCUGAAAACCCGUUGAUAAUAAACUGUUCUUGACUUGUUUUCUUAUUAGCACACUGAACUUCCAUGAAUCUGAUAAACUAGUGAGUUACUCGGCCCUUUAACUCUUUUAUCUUCAGCUAACCUUCUGAGACACCAUCCACAAACAUAGCUCCACCAUGAAAAAAAAAUAUCCAUAAGGAUAUGCAUUGCUCCUUUUGUAGCAACAAUACUCCACCUGAAACUAUAACCCUUGGAUGCACUUUGUCUCUAUAAGCUGAGCUUCACCAAUCUGAAUUAAAGCUACUCUUCACUAUAUCUUGGAUUCAUUUCCACGUUCUUAUGAAUCACCAUGAUUACUUGCUUGAGAAAGUGUGUCAAAACAUGAGACACAUCUUCUUUCUUCCUUCAGCCACCUCAAAUGAUCCAUUUGCAAUCAGAAAACCACUAAGAACUUGUCUUUAAUUUCUGCAGCCUUGUCCUCUCUUUACUUGGAACAUUCUUCAUGAUCUAAUUGUGAAACAACUUAGGUUGAUACACCAUCAAACCAUACCUCACUCCCAUAAAUAAAAUCUUGUACUUUCCUGUAGCCAAUUCCACUAUAUACUUGUCUUGCACCGCUGUUCAAACGAACAGGACACGCCGCCUAACACCCUUUGGCUAGGAAGACUUUCGACACAAGAAAAUAGUACAGCCAAUUGCAUACCAUCAGAUGCUUCUUUUAACACUUGAAGAUCUGAUCCAAAAAACACAAAACACAAGAUACACUCUGAGAAAAUAUUGCUCCACCCGAGAUAAGAACUCCUUGUUCCUUAAGCAAAAUUACCAUGUGUUAUGCCAAACACAAAUUUGCACAGAACAUGAAUCUUUUAUGCUGCCAUUACCUUGUCAAGAGAAUUCGUUCUCAUGACCAAACAAGCACAAACUGUCCAGCUUACACCAAACAACAUGCUUACAAACCACGCUGCAUUCCCUUUGAAAAUAGCAGCCUUGUAGCUUCACGUUCUCUGAUGAUCCACAACCCGUAGAUUCUCUCAUUCACAAGAACUGACAACUACACACAGAGAUAAACCUGCAACCGAAACCCCUUUCAAAACUCAGCCAAUACCAAUGAAGUUUCCAUAACAUUUUUCUGUCUUGAAUAAGCAGAAAACAUGACUUGCUUGAUAACCAUUCUGCAACCUCCUUUAAUUUGAACCAAGAGUACCUUUACUGAUACACACACAGCCAUAAAACGCCCAUAAGCUUCAAGAUUCUAAGGCAUCCCCUACUUCCAUGAAUCUUAUGAGUUACCGGGCUGGAAACACGAUAGUUAGAACACCACCUGAAACCGACUUUACCAAAACUGAUUCAGCCAGAAGAUAACAUGAAAACCAUCAUUGAAUCUUGGCUUAACUCUUGUAAAACCAGUACAUAACACUUGUGUUCCAACAAACUUCCAUUUCCAAUAAAUAUGCAGAACUUGAGCAACCUGAAACUUCAAUACAGAGCAUCACAAAAUCCCUUGUGACUGCAGCGGAAUCAGACAUAAGGUUUCCCAAAACUUGAGUCUUGAAAUUGAUGUUCAAUUUCGACAUCAACUCUUAACCGGUUUCUUCAACAAUGAUCAAGAAUCACCAUCUUCGAUCAAAUGCUUCUUGCUUCCAUCUCUGAAUUUCUCUGAAGGACUCCGAGCUUCAUAACUUCGAUUAAGCUCCAGCCUUCACAUCUCUUUCAUAUAUUGAAGCUCCUCUUUCUGAUAUUAACACAGACAAGAACUGAUGCACCCCCGACCAAAAAACUCUACGAAAUUUGGUGAGGCCUUUGCCUUUGUUGAAUUCCUUCGAGUUUCAAUUUCAACACUUCAACGAAAGAGAAAACGUCAAAGAGAAACGUGCCUUGUUCCUCUUUUGACUUUUGGGCAUUAAGAGAUCUUAGCCCACUUAGAAUAUUCACUAAUGAUAGACAAGGCCCAUCUUGGUCCAACUUGAAGAAAACAAUUUGUCGUACCUUGACCUUUCUUUUCCUCACCCGUCGACCAUCGUAAGAUGAUUUUGCCGGCCACCAUCCAGAUGUUAUCCGGUGACUUAUAUGGCCACCACAUCUCCGUGAUUCUCUCUCACCGUGCGUCUCUUCCUCGACAGCAAAACCCAAGGCUUCUUCUUCUCCGACUCGUUCUGCUCGUGACGGCGCCGUCUUCUCUUUCACGACGUCGUCGGAAACUCGAGCCACUCCGCCGGAAUCUCAGCCUUCUCCGGUGAGAAUCUCUCUGAAUUCCUUGUCGCCGAUCUCUGAACACCACAAGAGCUCAUGACAAGCUUCCUCCGCGAAACCCAGAUUUCAAAAGAAAUCUUGCAUCUUCUUCUGUCUUCUACUCUCAAUGCUUCUAGCAAGUCUAGUUCUUCUUAGAUGGACAAGACACUCCGUCUUCUAUGAGAUAUAAUCUCCAAACCAUCUUUCUUCUCUAGAGCUGCACUUCCCGAAGCCAUUGCUUGAUAAAGGUGUGACCUUUUUUCGACAAAACUUGCAUCUUCUUUGUAAAGCUUGAAUCUUUCUCACGGAACCUGAAGAUUCAGAGCAAAGCUUGAGUCUUUCAGCACUAACCUGUGCUCUGAUACCACUUGUAGAGGUUUUUAGCCUCUCAAAGGCUCAAGCUUUGUCUCAUUUGUCAUCAACACCAUAUUACGGAAACAAAUCAAGUAAAGUAUCGAGAAGAGGAGGAAGAUAAAACAGAGCAAGAUGAAGGAAGAAGAGGAGCACACAAAGGAUUUGUUAACCCGGUUCACGGCAUUAACGAGCCGCUACGUCCGGUUAGGAUCGAUAGAUCCACAACUUCACUAUGAAGAAGAAGGUAUUACAAACAAGAAGCAACAAGUGACCCGUCUAAUACCCUUCACUAGUACUUAGACUCACUCUGUACCACUUCCUGUAUAACUCAGAGAACAACAAUGACAAGCUUAUACUAAUACAUGUUUUCUCUCAUCUCUAUACCUUACUAACUCUUCUUCUUAGAUCUACAUUGUGCUAUUGCUCUCUCUCUCUACUCCCUUCUCCCUUAGCUUCUCUCAAUGAAGAUAAGCACCUAUAUAUAGAGACAGCUAACUAGGGCUUCCUUGUGCUAAAACAAACCGCAACCCUUUUGAGAACAAACUGACAAAACGGAGAGGCUCCCCUUUGUGGUCCCAAAAGUAUCCCAACCCAACUUUAACUUGACUAGAGUUAAGCCUUGAGUUGCUUUUGAUCUUCAUUUGCUUGAGAAACAAGUUCUCAUCUCCACAGGCCUUUUGUUAAAAGCCCAAAGAGCCGAAUCGAUAUUCACACACACGCUUGAACUGAAUCAUCCGGGCGCUUGCCUGUCUGAAAUGUGAAGCCGGAAGGUAGGUGGUGUACCUCUCUCUCUCUCUCUCUCUCUCUCUCUCUCUCUCUCUCUCUCUCUCUCUCUUUGUUUCUCUGUAAUUGAGCAUGUUAGGGUUAUGUUUCUAGAAUUCGGGUAAUUGCUCCUUGGAUUUAUGAAUCAAUUUGAUAAUCAGAGGAACUGAAUCAGGAUCAGAAGCAAUCCAUCUUUGUUUCUCAUACAUUUUGAUCAAAGAAAUUUUACUUGUAGUUGUAAUUAAAUAAUUCACACAGUUUUUAUUCUCCAGUGAACUCCUUGUGAAUGAUUAUAUUUAGUUUAAUAAUGAGUUUAGGUUCUUGAUCAUGCACACUGCACAGAGUUGGUAAGACUCUAUUGAGUCUUUUUUGUUCCUCUGUUUCGUAAUUUGAAGAUUUGGUUUCUGUUACUUCCUUCUUCUUGGCUAAUUUGUGUUCUUGCCCUUCUCUUGGAGAUUAUCACUAGGUUAUGUCUGUAUUUCCACUGCUGUGUCUUUUUGUUUUAUAACAUUCACUUUUUGAGCAAUAAUAAACAAUGGAUGAGAAACUACGAGGAGAUUCUGGCCAAAAUUUUCUGGUUUAUCUCUUUUUCUUCUCAGGUGUUUCGGUUGAAAUAAAGAGAAUCUGUGAGGAGAUUACUUUUAAAUAUUUCUGUAUUUGCUUAGAAUUCUAAUUUUUUACAGGUAUAUAUCUGAUUGCUGUCUUCCAGAAGUGGAAUCAAACCGGAGACGUCUUAGCUGUAAGAAUAUUAAGAAGUGAAA
Molecule: long non-coding RNA, 6224 nt
Filed under: Arabidopsis lyrata
Lineage: Eukaryota; Viridiplantae; Streptophyta; Magnoliopsida; Brassicales; Brassicaceae
Description: long non-coding RNA (ALYR_LNC003043)
Source: RNAcentral